This 405-nucleotide long non-coding RNA is filed under the name Physcomitrium patens. RNAcentral describes it as "long non-coding RNA (PPAT_LNC007479)". Lineage: Eukaryota; Viridiplantae; Streptophyta; Bryopsida; Funariales; Funariaceae. The record is from RNAcentral.
UUUAUUUAAUCUAUAGGAUAAAUAAAACUUAUCUUAAGUAAUUUAUUUUUUUUCUUUUUAUUUUAGUAAUAUAUGUUGGAUUUAUUUGAUAUCUUACUUAUUUAAUUGGUCAAGUAUUAGGUUCAAGUUCAAUUCAAUAUUUGCAAAUAUGAACAAGUAAUUCUUUUAAAUCUUCAUAAUUCCAUGCAAAAGUAUUAUUAUAUAUUUUUUAAUAAUUUUAUUAAUUAUUUCUUAUAAUUCUCAUUAUUUUAUUGUCCUAUCUUCAUUGUUUUUGGUUGAGCUUCAAUUUCCAGAUUUACUUCAUCUUCUUGAUCCUUUUUCUUGAUUGUCUAACUUCUAAUGGAUUUCUCCUUAACUCCUACUAUAGCUAGAAUUGCAUCUAAUUUACUAGCUCCCAUCCUUGAU